GAUGAACGCUAGCUACAGGCUUAACACAUGCAAGUCGAGGGGCAGCAGGGAGAUAGCUUGCUAUCUUUGCUGGCGACCGGCGCACGGGUGAGUAACGCGUAUCCAACCUUCCCCUUACUAGAGGAUAGCCCGGCGAAAGUCGGAUUAAUGCCGGAUGUCGUGCGAUGAUGGCAUCAGAGUUGCACGAAAGGCUUGCCGCCUCGGGAUGGGGAUGCGUCUGAUUAGGCAGCAGGCGGGGUGACGGCCCACCUGGCCUUCGAUCAGUAGGGGUUCUGAGAGGAAGGUCCCCCACACUGGAACUGAGACACGGUCCAGACUCC
RNAcentral lists this ribosomal RNA (320 nucleotides) under uncultured Prevotella sp. Its description in RNAcentral is "bacterial SSU rRNA". It matches the Rfam family "Bacterial small subunit ribosomal RNA", at positions 28 to 339 of the family's 1533-position model. Lineage: Bacteria; Pseudomonadati; Bacteroidota; Bacteroidia; Bacteroidales; Prevotellaceae. The record is from RNAcentral.